Molecule: long non-coding RNA, 113 nt
Organism: Hibiscus syriacus
Lineage: Eukaryota; Viridiplantae; Streptophyta; Magnoliopsida; Malvales; Malvaceae
Exons: 4
Source: RefSeq, a predicted model, not a curated record
CUCUUCAUUGAUGAAGGUUUUGUAAAAGAAUUGGGUUAUUUUCUCAAAGGGAGAAAAUUUAUCUGCUUCAUUGCUAAUUGGUAAUCUUUAAUAGGAUUGAAUAUUGCAUUGUU